UACGGAAGGCAGCAGUGGGGAAUAUUGCACAAUGGGCGCAAGCCUGAUGCAGCCAUGCCGCGUGUAUGAAGAAGGCCUUCGGGUUGUAAAGUACUUUCAGUCGUGAGGAAGGUGUUAAGGUUAAUAACCUUAGCAAUUGACGUUAGCGACAGAAGAAGCACCGGCUAACUCCGUGCCAGCAGCCGCGGUAAUACGGAGGGUGCGAGCGUUAAUCGGAAUUACUGGGCGUAAAGGGCACGCAGGCGGUUAAUUAAGUUGGAUGUGAAAUCCCCCGGGCUUAACCUGGGAAUGGCAUUCAAGACUGGUUAGCUAGAGUCUUGUAGAGGGGGUAGAAUUCCAUGUGUAGCGGUGAAAUGCGUAGAGAUGUGGAGGAAUACCGGUGGCGAAGGCGGCCCCCUGGACAAAGACUGACGCUCAUGUGCGAAAGCGUGGGGAGCAAACAGGGAUUAGAUACC
RNAcentral lists this ribosomal RNA (455 nucleotides) under uncultured bacterium. RNAcentral's name for it is "bacterial SSU rRNA". It matches the Rfam family "Bacterial small subunit ribosomal RNA", at positions 340 to 786 of the family's 1533-position model. The record is from RNAcentral.